UUCUCCUUAUCUCUCUUUCAUUUUUCAAAAUAAAAAAAUAACGAAAUCAAAAACACUAAAUCGUUCAAUCAUCUUCUCAAACACAAAAUAGUAAUGGAUUGUUCACUCAAAUAUCAACGUAAUUACAUUACGUUAUUCUAUGUUCAAUUUUAUAUCAUGAUUUCAUCUGAAUACGUCAUCAACUUCACAUGUAGAAAUAAACGACAAUCAGAAACAGAUGAAUCUGUAAUGGAGCCUUUGAAAAAGAGAAAAGAUGAAGGUACAAGUAAAACAACAGAAACCUCGAAGAUUUCGGAACAAAGAACUACAAUGACAGGCCAUCUAUAAAAAAAGUCCGAUGGUAAGUGAUUCUAGAUUUAGGUAUUCAUUGUGUAUUUGAUACGUGAUUCAAGAUUUAGAUUAUACUUAGUAUCUAGUACGUGAUUUAGGUAUAUAUUGUGUAACUGGCACAUGAUUCUAGAUUUAGCUGCACAUUGAGUAUCUGGUACGUGAUUCUAGAUUUAGGUAUACACUGAGAAUCUAGUACGUGAUUUAGGUAUAACAUUACAUUGAGAAACAUCUGUUACUGUUUUCAAAAAAAUGGUAAAUGAUUCUAGAUGUAGGUAUACAUUAAGUACCAGGUACGUCAUUUAGCUAUUCAUCAAUCUUUUGGUAUGUGAAUCUAGAUGUAGGGGUAGUUACACUGAGCAUUUGUAUAUUGCUUGCACAUGAUUCUAGAUGUGGGGUUAGUUACAUUAAGAUGUAAAGUAACCAUUUGUUACUGCUUGCAAACAUUGUACGUGAUUUUAGAUGUAAGAUUACAUAGAAAAAAAUGUUAUUGUUUUUAACAAUUGGUAUAUGAGAUUAUAGAUGUACACUUAUGUUGAUCAUUUGUAAUGUCUCAUUUUACUGUUUCUAUAUAUUGGCAACAUAUACGUAACCCUAAAGUGGCAAUUGUUUCUUAUGAUGAUGACGGCGACUUUGUAAACCCACCUAAACCCUUAAAAGAUUCAAAUACAGUUUUGGUGAGCAAUUUGCCCCCAAGAAAAGCCUUUGUUCCGUACACGAACAAUAAGUUAAAAGUGAGGGCAAGUGUGAGCAACUUCACAGAAGCAAUACAGAGUUUGACAAAAGAAGCAGUUAAAAAAUGGGUUUUGAGUCUUUGCUUUCAAUGAACAUAAUAACUGUACCAACAAGGAUGGCACAUUAGUUAUUACCAAACUAUGACCAUGAACGCGGUGAUCUAAACAAAGGAAACCAUAUCAUAUAAGUAACCCCACAGAAGGUGAAUGACAUAUUUUAGAUUCCUUUGGGUAGUGUCAUAGUGAUUGAGAAAACCAAGAAAAGGGUCAUCAUGUACACAUGAUGCAUGGUUAGUCCAAUAUCAAAUGGAAAAAAAUUAGUAACAAGUGUUAAAAAAUGUAUUAACAAGCAAGAAGGCAGACUGGACUUUCAAAUUGAACUUGUUCUCUACAACUCAUUACUCGGUGAGACGACAAAAGGCUCAACAGUGAACAAAAGGGUUUUAACAACAGUAACAGAUGAUUCUGCAGUAACAAAGUUGAAUUGAUGUAAUUAUUGAUCACUUGCAUGAAAAGGACAAAGGAAGAGUGGAACAGAGUAGAGCCUUACCAUGGACCACUAGCAUUUCUUGCGGUACUUUACGUUCAUGAACAAAGGCUGGCACAUAAUCCAGUAGAAGCACAUACUCCAACAAUCAAGCAUAUUAAAACUGAACGUCUGUUUCAGAUUGAUGAGUAUUUAUAUCACAAUGGGCUAUUUUCAAGCGAGGAAAAAGAAAAUGAAGAGAAUGAAGAAGAAGUAGCAAAUGAACAAACAAGAAUAAAUGAGGAAACAUCUUUGCAUGAAGGUGAUGAGCAAAAUGAAGAAAUGGAACAUGAAAAGAAUGAAGAAAAACAAGAGAAAGAACCAUAAGCAAAUCAAGAUCAAAGCAAUGAAGGUAGAAAGUAGAGACGAACAUAAAUAACGAAUCAAUUAAUAUUGAUUAUUAUAUCAACCAGACCUACAACAUCAAAUAUGUCAAGAGACCCGUGUGGGUAUAACACCAAAUUCCAUUGAUGACAUUAAAGAUUACAUUCCAUAUUAUAGCACUCCUAACAUAGGACACGCUCAGGAAGAUCAAAUGGAUAAAGGUAAUCAGAAUGUGCAAAAAUGAUGAUGAUGCUUCAAGUGAACACACUCAAAGUGAAGAAGCACGAACAACAGAAAUUGUGCAAAAUGAAAAAUAAAGAUCAACGAAUGAAGGCGGAACACCAUUGAACAUUCAAAUCCCUAUGUUAUGGGUGAAAUUCUGAGCCUAUAUCUUGGUCAAUAUUUUGAGUUAUAUCCUGAUUAUAUGAUAUGUGUUCAUACCCCGGGUUACGCGUUCAGGAUAUUGGUAACAUCCUGAAUGGUAUCCUGAGGAUCACUAACGGGUUAUGUGCAGGAAUAGGAGUCCAAGCUUAUAACGUUCAUGAGGACCUUUCUCCGGAAGACUCGUUCUAAGUUGUUCGAAGAGGGACGUUGAACCCGCUUUACUUGGUCUCCAACGGCUAAUAAAGAAUAUUCGAAGGCAUCCCAUACUUAUAGGAGAUGUUGUUUUCGUUUACUAGCUAUAAAUAGAUGAUAGAUCAGAUCGAAUAGGACACAACAUGAACACUCACUGCUCUCACACUUUCCUUUCUCGCAACUUUCACUUUCAUAACAAACAUUGUAACACUUAGAGAUCUGAUCAAUAUCCUGCACUGUAUCCUGACGUUUAAGCAAUAAGAAGAACAA
Long non-coding RNA from Helianthus annuus (common sunflower), 2757 nucleotides. RefSeq lists it as uncharacterized. The transcript is spliced from 4 exons. The record is from RefSeq and is a predicted model, not a curated record. Lineage: Eukaryota; Viridiplantae; Streptophyta; Magnoliopsida; Asterales; Asteraceae.